UAGGGAAUCUUCCGCAAUGGGCGAAAGCCUGACGGAGCAACGCCGCGUGAGUGAUGAAGGUCUUCGGAUCGUAAAACUCUGUUAUUAGGGAAGAACAUAUGUGUAAGUAACUGUGCACAUCUUGACGGUACCUAAUCAGAAAGCCACGGCUAACUACGUGCCAGCAGCCGCGGUAAUACGUAGGUGGCAAGCGUUAUCCGGAAUUAUUGGGCGUAAAGCGCGCGUAGGCGGUUUUUUAAGUCUGAUGUGAAAGCCCACGGCUCAACCGUGGAGGGUCAUUGGAAACUGGAAAACUUGAGUGCAGAAGGGGAGAGUGGAAUUCCAUGUGUAGCGGUGAAAUGCGUAGAUAUAUGGAGGAACACCGGUGGCGAAAGCGGCUCUCUGGUCUGUAACUGACGCUGAGGCUCGAAAGCGUGGGGAGCAAACAGGAUUAGAUACCCUGGUAGUCCACGCCGUAAACGAUGAGUGCUAGGUGUUAGGCCCUUUCCGGGGCUUAGUGCCGCAGCUAACGCAUUAAGCACUCCGCCUGGGGAGUACGACCGCAAAGGUU
This 550-nucleotide ribosomal RNA is filed under the name uncultured bacterium. RNAcentral's name for it is "bacterial SSU rRNA". It matches the Rfam family "Bacterial small subunit ribosomal RNA", at positions 355 to 895 of the family's 1533-position model. The record is from RNAcentral.